GGCGUCCGAGUUGUAAUUUGUAGAGGAUGCUAUUGGGUUGCCACCGGUCUAAGUUCCUUGGAACAGGACGUCACAGAGGGUGAGAAUCCCGUAUGUGACCGGCCAGGCGCCCUAUGUAUAGCUCCUUCGACGAGUCGGGUUGUUUGGGAAUGCAGCCCUAAAUGGGAGGUAAAUUUCUUCUAAAGCUAAAUACCGGCCAGAGACCGAUAGCGCACAAGUAGAGUGAUCGAAAGAUGAAAAGCACUUUGGAAAGAGAGUUAAAAAGCACGUGAAAUUGUUGAAAGGGAAGCGCUUGCAAUCAGUCUCGACGGCGGCUGUUCGGCCUCUCUUCUGAGUGGUUUAUUCAGUCGCCGCCGGGCCAGCAUCAGUUUCGGCGGUCGGAUAAAGGCGGAGGGAAUGUAGCUCCCCUCGGGGAGUGUUAUAGCCCUCCGCGCAAUACGGCCUGCCGGGACUGAGGUCCGCGCUUCGGCUAGGAUGCUGGCGAAAUGGUUGUAAGCGGCCCGUCUUGAAACACGGACCAAGGAGUCUAACAUCUAUGCGAGUGUUUGGGUGUCAAACCCGUGCGCGUAAUGAAAGUGAACGGAGGUGGGAACCGCAAGGUGCACCAUCGACCGAUCCUGAUGUCUUCGGAUGGAUUUGAGUAAGAGCAUAGCUGUUGGGACCCGAAAGAUGGUGAACUAUGCCUGAAUAGGGUGAAGCCAGAGGAAACUCUGGUGGAGGCUCGCAGCGGUUCUGACG
RNAcentral lists this ribosomal RNA (738 nucleotides) under Elsinoe eucalyptorum. RNAcentral's name for it is "eukaryotic LSU rRNA". It matches the Rfam family "Eukaryotic large subunit ribosomal RNA", at positions 133 to 891 of the family's 3401-position model. The record is from RNAcentral. Lineage: Eukaryota; Fungi; Ascomycota; Dothideomycetes; Myriangiales; Elsinoaceae.